Molecule: long non-coding RNA, 5765 nt
Filed under: Sus scrofa (pig)
Lineage: Eukaryota; Metazoa; Chordata; Mammalia; Artiodactyla; Suidae
Description: lncRNA (ENSSSCG00005040874.1)
Source: RNAcentral
GGGAACCUGUCAGAAUGAGAUUAGGUAGAUUCAGGCAAAACCGUACACUUCAGUGUGCUUUGUUCCCAGCAAGACAAGUGUUUAGAUUGUACUUUCCAAACUCCUCAAAACGAUCACAGGCACAUAAAGCUGCCCCCCUGGAAAAUGUGGCAAAUCAGAACUAAAUUUUUACCUCCUCCUGUUGCUAUUCUGAAGGCCAGUUGAUUCUUCUCAGCCUAGUGAAUAUUUUCUUUGUUUUAUUUAGAUUUUAGAAAAUAAAGUGGUUGACCUGUUUGUCUUCCUUACAAAGAAAUGUCACAGGCUUAUUUUGAUACAUUCCAUUACAGACAUAAAUUGUAGAAAGGAAAGUGUAGAUGCGAAUUUGUAAUGCUGUCAGUAGCCCUUCCUGUAAAUCUUGCCAAUGUCAAGAACAUCUUGAGGAAUGGAAACUACAGGAAAAUUCCAAUUUGUCAAAAUACCCCGGGAAUGGGAGAUUCCAGGUUAUCUCGAAUUUACCCAGAAAAUCCUUUUUCACAUCAACCCUGGAAGUUGAAAUCUUACUGAAAGGUAUGAGUCGAGUUUCCUGCCCUAAGAAGCAUAGUUUACUUUGAAUGUGAUUUAAUGUUUCUCUGACACUUUAGGGUCAGGCUGGACAUUCUGGACCCCAACUCCCAUUGUCUAGAAAACAAAACAGGAGAUUGGAUACAAUUUGUGCUUGACCCUAGGACAGGUUUUUGAAGUUCCUUGAAUAAGCUUCUUCUUUCAUGUAUUUUAUUCCUUUUUCCUUAUAUAGGGGGGAAAAAAAAACUUGGAAAACUGAGGAGUUUGCCUAUACAAAUUCCAGUACAAUCAAGAUUUUAUUAAUUUCAAUUUUUUGGUUUAGUGCUAAUGAAGGAUGCAACUAAGGACUCAGCUCUCAGGAGUUGGGAGUCUUUCCUAGCAUCACCCCUCCCCUCUCCCCACCCCCAGUAGGAACAGCAUGGAACAGCAGGGGUUCUGCAUUUGGUCAUUUCUUUCCAGAUCAUUUUGUCUCUGUCUAGACAAGGGUUUCUCAACCUCGGCCCUCCUGAUAUCUUGGGCUAGACAGUUCUUUGUAGGAGACUGUCUUGUGCGCUGUAGGGUGUUCAGCAGCAUUUCUGGUCUCUACCCACCAGAUGCCAGUAGUGACAGGGAAGGAGAAGGAUAGUUACACAGGUAGUUGUAGAAGUCUCAAUAAGGGACCAUAGUUAGAGAGGGAAACCUAGGGAACUUUGUGAGACCACUCUAAGUUAAUAAUUGCUCAAGAAAGCCAUCAGAACCAGGCCGGCUUGACUAGUGGAGGCAUGAGAUAUGCCUCAGGUCAUUGGGUGGGGGAUGGGCUGAAGCCUGCAUUCAGGUUCAGACCAAGGGCAGGAGUUUAAGGAUCACCCUUCUACUAAUUUAAAUAAGCACCGUGAUAGUCCUAGUUUGACCUUAUAGGGUCAGAUACUCUCUUACUGGAUUCCAAGGAGGAGCUACUACUUUAAAAAAGAGGAAGAGAUGGUCUUUCCCCUCCCCCCACUCCCCUUGGAUGAUAAAACUGUAGCCCACCUAAUCCUCGGGACAGAGCCUCCUCACCUGCCUGCUUGCAUCUCUCAGAGGUGUCCUAUCUUAAUAAAUCUAUUUCUUCCCUAUCACUUUGUCCCUUGCUAAAUUCCUUCUGCUCAGAGGCAUAAAGAACCUGAACCUCAGUAAGUCCAGACACCAGGUGAGUGAGUCUAAUUUUAAAACAUUGGGGGAGUUCCCGUCAUGGCGCAGUGGUUAACGAAUCCGACUAGGAACCAUGAGGUUGCGGGUUCGAUCCCUGCCCCUGCUCAGUGGGUUGACGAUCCGGCGUUGCCGUGAGCUGUGGUGUAGGUUGCAGACGCGGCUCGGAUCUUGCGUUGCUGUGGCUCUGGCGUAGGCCGGCAGCUACAGCUCCGAUCCGACCCCUGGCCUGGGAACCUCCAUAUGCCGCUGGAGCGGCCCAAGAAAUGGCAAAAAGACAAAAAAAAUAAAAAAUAAAAACAUUGGGUUCAGGUCCCAAUCUGGGUCUUGGCUCGGUUCAAGGCAUAAGUGCUUCAGUUUCAGCAGCCAACCCCCAAGUUGUGACAACUGACAAUAUCUCCAGAUAGGGCCAAAUGUUCCCAAGGGGCAAAAUCCCAGCCCCCCACCCCCAGCACCAGCUGAGAACGACUACUCUAGACAGAGACACAGUUAUUCUUUUUUCCCCUCCCGUUAUCAAGAUUAUGAGUUUUCUUGACCUUGGCAAGUAAUUUCACAGCACAUUUCUUAGACUAUUUCGUAGAAGAACAAAAAUAAUUCUCAUGAUGAAAGUAAUAUUUUGAUGUGAAUUGUGUGAGGCAGGCCUCAUUAAAACAAAACUGUAGGUUUGGCAUUGUUUUUAGAAGGUGGUAGAUUUGUUUUCUGAAUCAAUCAUGACUUUGAUUUUUAAAUACCAAAUUCUUAUACCCUCCUACAUUUCCUUUGAGGUCAUUGUCAUUAUGGACAUCAAGUCAGUGCCUUAGCCACAGCCUCUCGUGUUGUACUGUCAUCUUCAAUUUCAUAUUUGCAUCCAUCUCAGAAAUAUUUUUACUACUGUUGCUGCUUCCCAAUUCUUAAGAGAUUUUCCACUCACUCACUGUUUUUGAAUCCCUUAUUCCCUCUUUCCAGUGGAUUGAGUUACAUUUAAAGUAGAUGUUCUUAAAGAAUAGUCAGUAGAUUUAAAAAAAAAAUCCGCUAAAUUGGUGAAAUUCGGGAGUUAGUGUUAUAUCCCUGAUUUUAAGCCUACAGAGAUAUUUCUGCUAUGGAAGGGGGAGGAGUUAAAUUGUUUGGAUAAGCAGAUUUUUCUGUCUAAUGCUGUAGUGGAAGUCUCUAUACAUAAAUCUUUGCACACACAUCUCAGCAGCACUUGCAGCUAAAACUUGGGAAGACGAAUACAGGGUUAAAGGAUAUAAAUAUUUUAAGGUUCAAUACAUAUUGCCAAAUUGCCUCUGGAAGGUGGUGCCCAUUUUCAGUCUCUUUAUUGGCAAUUCUUUUGAAGGGCUUCCAUCUUGUUCUGUCAGCCUCCAGGCCUGUGAAGACAUUUCCCACGGGACAUUCUUCAGAUACGUCAAUGUAAUAAGAUCCAUCUCAAGAUAUCUGUCAACAGCUUCCCUAGGCCCAUCUCAGACCAUCUGUCAAUGGCAGCUCUGAUAUAUUUUGGGAUGAUGCAGAUGCAAUUGCCAAAAACAAGUUCGCAGUUGAAUCAAGUUUUCCAAUCAGUGCAGUUGCAGAAUUGAACUGUGUUAAUGACACGUGACAAUCUUAGUCCAAUAUCCAGAGACUCCAGGAAGAAAUGUGUCCUUGUGAAUUUAAGGGCAGCUGCAAGAGAAGGAAUGUGGAUUACCUUUCCUGUGAAUUCUGUAGAGCUCACACCAUCCCGACCAUGUUGUAAACAUGGCAGCCAGAACUGAUUGCCAAGCCUUAGCUUCAGGCAAGAUUAGGGAGGAAAGACACCACUUGGAUGCCGGGCUGUAUUACUUAGAAAGGUGCAGUGAUGACAUCUGACUCACACACGCAACUGGUACCUUGAGUGAGUCUGUAUUCUGCGCCAACAAAGACAUGUAAGUGUGAUACUUAUGUGCUCCCAGGAGAUGGAUAGAAUCAGCUCUCCUACAGUGUAUGAAAUGGUCUAUAAAUUGGAAAAUACUAUACAUACAUGAGUUUAUGACAGUUGUCAUUGUAUUGUUAUAAGCUCUGAACUGCCUCUGAGAUCUGGGACUUAAAACAUCUAGAAUCUAUCCAUUUUAUUAUGGAUGCCCUAAAUUGUAAGUGCUAGUAGUUGCCUGGUGCCAGGCCCUCCCUAAACACCCCCUGGCCACUCAGACUCUAAAGAAUCAUGGAGCCCAAAUCAGCCUUUAGUUUUCAAGAGGCUGGUAUAUAUUUCAAGUGUUCAGAAGGCCAGAGUUGCCUCUGCCCUUAAGUAGGUGAUGUGUUCUUUUUUCUCUCAACCACUGGCUAACUGAGUCAGUGUUUGAAGUGGUACAGACAAGCACAAAGUACUCAGAUGUCCAGUCUGUUCUUAGCUCCCUGGGCCAUAUCAUCCUCUUGGCAUCUAGUCUGAAUGAAACAUACCACCAAAGCCAGAGCAGAUAGAAACCACAAGGAACACAUAAGAGACAGAGCCCAGGGCCCACCGCCUUGCCAAUGAGGCCGACUGGAAAGGCAGGCCUGACCUGAAUGGCUUCUCACUGUAAAUAGCUUUAAUAAGAAUGGGCUGAACUUCGCCACCCUCAGACAGUCUCAAAGCAUCUUAACUGUUUCUCCUGCAUGUGGCUUGUCAGGGGUAAGAAUGGCCUGACAUUAUAAAGCAGCCAAAAUGGAGAUUAAAACAGUUAAUAUUCUUAAACUACCUUUACCUGUGUUAUUUCAUAUGGUUGUUCCAAAAAUUCUAUAAGCCAGGACGCUUUAUGUCUUUCAGAGAAGAGGAAACUGAGGCCCAGAGAUGUUAAGUGUCCCACCCAAGGCCACACAGGGAAGAAGUGGCAAAGCCAGGACAUGAACCCCAAAGUGUCACUUUAAGGUCUCUGGUCUCUCUGUCAUAGCACAGUGGAGUCCGGGGUUGGGAUAUUCUUUCUGGAUUGCCUUCUGAAAUAACCUUGGCCCUACAGAUGCACAAUUUUCCGUCUGUGCCUCAGAGCUGCUAUUGAGCUGUUAGGGGAAAGGAGAUGGAGAAAGGGUGAAUCACAGAGAGCUCCAGACAGAAUGAGAACUCAAGGGAUCUUGUCACUUGGAUGAAAAAAUCACUAUUACAACGCAUGGUGUAAAUGUGCUCACAAAUUUGUGCAAUUUUUAUGUGUUAAUUUUUCUAUCGAAAUGAACCCAUUCCAUUCUACAUCAGCGUAAAUACGUUGCAUGUGCCUUCCUACAAGUUUAAACGUUUCGUCUCACAACUCCUAGGACCCAGGAGCUCUGACCAUCUGUGUUCCACCUAGAACUUAAAAGUGUUUUCAUUUUCCUUCAAUCCUGAAUUGGUGUGGAAUUCAGGGUCAGUGUCAACAAAUCCAGAGUGUAUGACUGUGGCAGACACAGGCUCCUCGGUUAGGGUCCCAUUGCCUCAGGAUGGGCCCAUGGAACUAGAUCUUGCCAAGAGACUGUGAGGUAGUUAAGCAGCAGGCAUGUUCCUUCAGGUUCAUUCUCUUCCCUUCUGCCUGGAUGCAGGGAACUUUGGGGCUCUAGGGUAGUGAUUCUCAGACUUGAAUAUGCAUCAGAAGGCAGUUAAGAGACAUAUUACUGGGCCCCAUCCUUAGAGGUCUUACUUAGCAGAUCUGGUUGGGAUCUGAAUAUUUGCAAGUCUUACACAUCCCAAAUGCUGCUGAUGCUGCCAGCCUGGGGACCAUGCCCUGGAAACCACUGCCCCAGAGCAACGCCUCAGUGAAAUACUGGUUACAGUUUAUAUUUCUCCAAGGGGUAUUUUAAACAUUUUGAUGGCCAAGCUGUCUUUUAAACCAGUGAAAUCGAGUCUCCUGGGGUGAGGCUCAUGUAUUAGCAUUUUUAAAGCUCAUUAAGUAAUUACAAAGUGCAGUUAAAAGUUGAAAACUAUUGCCUUAAAAUGGAGUCUUAAGAUGGAAAGAACAUGGGUUCUUAAAUCACCACGUCUAGGAAAGCAGUCUGUCAGUGAGAAGUGUCCACUUUAACUUAUUAUAUGAAGAAGAAAUUAACUUGUAUUAUGUUAGGCUGCUGAAAUUCUGGAGAUGACCCGCUAUUGUAGCCAGCAUUAUCCUAACUAAAAUGAUAAUGGUAACUAU